ACCAAUUCUAAUACUUCUUCAUUUGUAAAAACGAAAAUCGACAAACCAAAUCUCACAACCACCAUCUUCAUCGUCGCCAUCGCCUCCACUCCAGCACCACCUCUAAUUUCUUCACCACCUCCACCAAUCCCUCGACCAUUUCCAUACCUCCUCUUAUACUUCCAUCAAAUCCACCACAAGCAGCAGCACCACCACCUCCUAAACGAUCACUUAUAUCGAUUUUUACCUGAUUCAACCUCAAAACUCAAAUCUAGUGAUGAACCAACGAGUAAUUAAUCUCCGAAACCUAAUCCCGGGCUUCAGAAACCUCAGAUUUACUUCGAUUUUGCAACUGGAUUGUACAUGAUUGCAUUUUCAAACCCUAAUUUUGGAUUCAUUUUUCUUCAGGUCGAUAUUUCAUUCAUGUAAUUGAUUAUCUUAUGCUUCAAUUCGUUAUUUUUCACUUCCGUUGAAUCCUUAAGUUGGUAAUAAACUGUUUUGUUUACUUAUCUUCAUUAUGGUGAUGUGUGGUGGUGGGACAGUAGCAUGUGUGGCGGUGGUGGGUGGAUGGUGCUGUGUUUGUGGUAGUGGUAAAUGGGUGAGUUGUUUCCAUGUUUGAUUUUAAUUGGUGAUGGAGAGGUGGAAUGCAGUGGUAGUGGUAACUGGCAGAGUGGGAAUACAAAGAGGAGGAUAUAAAGUUUGGUUGCAGUGGGAAAACAACUGUGAUGAUUAAAUUAUGCAGCUAAAGAGGGUAACUCAGAGAAGAGAUAGGUCGCCAAUAUAUAGAAUAUCCUUGUAUCUAAUUGUUUAAGGUUUCUAGUUUGGAGUUUUAUCAUUGGUUUCAAGGUUUCUACUUUGGAGUUUUAUCACUUGUUUCGUACGAAUUGAUGGUGUUUAUAGGUUGAGUUGUUAAUUAAGUAGUGGCUAAAUCGGCCUAGUCGUCAUUUUGGUUGUGAAUUUGUGCAAUGGUAUGGCAUCUUACUUUUGUUAUCUACUGCAAAUUUUGAAUUAGGAAGCUGAUUAUGGUUUAUGAACGGUCAACGGUGGUUGUGGAGAUUUCACCCUGCUGCGCAAAAUGAAGGGUAUACAUUCUGGUUGUUGACACCACCGCCGGCGGGCGUUGAUGGACUGGUGGUGGGUGGCGGCAUUAGUGAUAAUGGUGGCUGGAGAUGGUGGACCAGUGGUGGACAACGCCAUUAGUGAUAAUGGUGGCGGGUGGUGGUGGCGGGCGGUGGUGGCUUGGUGGAAGGUGGUGGACUGACGUUGGUGGUG
Long non-coding RNA from Papaver somniferum (opium poppy), 1251 nucleotides. RefSeq lists it as uncharacterized. The transcript has 3 exons. The record is from RefSeq and is a predicted model, not a curated record. Lineage: Eukaryota; Viridiplantae; Streptophyta; Magnoliopsida; Ranunculales; Papaveraceae.